AUGUUCACGACCUGGCCUGCGAGGAGGCACGGGUGCAGCUCCCUCUUCUGCCACCUCCAUGGCGCCGGGAGCGCCUUGCUGUACCGCGUGCUGGACGCGGUGACGUCGGUGAAAUGCGAGACGCGGCGGGCUCGCAAGCAGGUCAAGGUGCUCGAGGCCCUCGACGUCGCCGGGACGCAGAUGUACCACUUCACCACCAUCGUCAUCGCCGGCAUGGGCUUCUUCACGGACGCCUACGACCUGUUCUCGGUCUCCCUCAUCGCCGACCUCCUGGGCCGCAUCUACUACCACUCGGCGGACGGCAGGCUCCCCCGUAACGUCGCCGGCGCCGUCAGCGGCGUGGCGCUCUGCGGCACGGUCCUGGGGCAGCUCUUCUUCGGCUGGCUCGGCGACAGGAUGGGGCGGAAGCUGAUCUACGGCGUCACGCUCAAGCUCAUGGUGGUGUGCUCGCUCGCGUCCGGCCUCUCCUUCCACAACAAGCCCAACAGGAACAAGCCCAAGUGCGUUGUGGCCACGUUGUGCUUCUUCCGCUUCUGGCUCGGCUUCGGCGUCGGCGGCGACUACCCGCUUUCGGCCACCAUCAUGUCUGAGUAUGCCAACAAGAGGACUCGCGGAGCCUUCAUAGCAGCAGUCUUCGCUAUGCAGGGUCUUGGGAACCUGGCUGCUGGGGCUGUUGUUCUGGUGCUCUCUGCGAGCUUCAAGAACACGGCCGCGUACGAUACUGACUACGUGUGGCGCAUAGUACUCAUGCUCGGUGCCGUUCCUGCCCUGCUCACCUACUAUUGGCGCAUGAAGAUGCCCGAGACGGCGCGCUACACCAUGCUCAUCGCCAAGAACCUCAAGCUAGAGGCGUCUGACAUGGCCGCGGUCCUCGACAUCGACUUCGUGUCCGACAUGGAUGCGGAGGCCGUCGUUAAGCAGGACGAGUUUGGCCUCUUCUCCAUGGAGUUCCUUCACAAGCAUGGCCGCCAGCUCCUCGGAACCACCGUGUGCUGGUUCGUCCUCGACGUCGUCUUCUACUCCCUCAACCUCUUCAUGAAGGACAUCUUCAGCGGCAUCGGCUGGAUUGGAGACGCGGCUGAGAUGAGCCCUCUCGAGCAGACCUACAAGAUAGCCCGCACGCAGGCCAUCAUCGUGGUCGGCGGUUCCCUACCAGGGUACUUCCUCACUGUCCUCUUUGUUGACCGCAUCGGCCGCAUCAAGAUCCAGCUCAUGGGGUUCACCAUGAUGACCAUCUUCAUGAUCGGGCUCGCCGCGCCCUACUAG
Molecule: ribosomal RNA, 1266 nt
Filed under: Triticum aestivum (bread wheat)
Lineage: Eukaryota; Viridiplantae; Streptophyta; Magnoliopsida; Poales; Poaceae
Description: partial small subunit ribosomal RNA
Source: RNAcentral